GAUGAACGCUGGCGGCGUGCCUAAUACAUGCAAGUCGAGCGAACAGACGAGGAGCUUGCUCCUCUGACGUUAGCGGCGGACGGGUGAGUAACACGUGGAUAACCUACCUAUAAGACUGGGAUAACUUCGGGAAACCGGAGCUAAUACCGGAUAAUAUAUUGAACCGCAUGGUUCAAUAGUGAAAGACGGUUUUGCUGUCACUUAUAGAUGGAUCCGCGCCGCAUUAGCUAGUUGGUAAGGUAACGGCUUACCAAGGCGACGAUGCGUAGCCGACCUGAGAGGGUGAUCGCCCACACGGGAACGGGGACACGGUCCAGACGCCUACGGGAGGCAGCAGUAGGGAAUCUUCCGCAAUGGGCGAAAGCCUGACGGAGCAACGCCGCGUGAGUGAUGAAGGUCUUCGGAUCGUAAAACUCUGUUAUUAGGGAAGAACAAAUGUGUAAGUAACUACGCACGUCUUGACGGUACCUAAUCAGAAAGCCACGGCUAACUACGUG
RNAcentral lists this ribosomal RNA (497 nucleotides) under uncultured bacterium. Its description in RNAcentral is "partial 16S ribosomal RNA". It matches the Rfam family "Bacterial small subunit ribosomal RNA", at positions 28 to 507 of the family's 1533-position model. The record is from RNAcentral.